AGCGAAGCUGUUUAGAUACUGUAGGAUUAUGCCCAUGAAGCACAGAAAUCCGCAGCCAUGGACGGCUGGGGAAGGCGUUAUGCGCCACGGACGGCGCAUAAAAGCCGGUUUCGUCAAGCAUUGAAAACCCAUAAGGCAUAAUCCGUACAGGAUCUUAACAGCGCAGC
Molecule: non-coding RNA, 167 nt
Filed under: uncultured Agathobacter sp.
Lineage: Bacteria; Bacillati; Bacillota; Clostridia; Lachnospirales; Lachnospiraceae
Source: RNAcentral